GAUGAAGAACGUAGCGAAAUGCGAUAAGUAAUGUGAAUUGCAGAAUUCAGUGAAUCAUCGAAUCUUUGAACGCACCUUGCGCCCUUUGGCUAUUCCGAAGGGCAUGCCUGUUUGAGUAUCAUGAACACCUCAACUCUCAUGGUUUGCCAUGAUGAGCUUGGACUCUGGGGGUCUUGCUGGCCUAUGGUCAGCUCCUCUCAAAUAAAUCAGCUUGCCAGUGUUUGGUGGCAUCACAGGUGUGAUAAAUAUCUACGCUUGUGGUUUUCCAUCAGGUAACCUUCAGUGAUGGAGGUUCGCUGGAGCUCAUAAAUGUCCCUCCUCAGCGAGGACAGCUUUUUGAACGUUUGAUCUCAAAUCAGGUAGGACUACCCGCUGAACUUAAGCAUAUCAAUAAGCGGAGGA
Molecule: unclassified non-coding RNA, 402 nt
Filed under: soil metagenome
Description: partial contains 5.8S ribosomal RNA, internal transcribed spacer 2, and large subunit ribosomal RNA
Rfam family: 5.8S ribosomal RNA (bases 1-121)
Source: RNAcentral